CUCGUAGGCGGUUCGUCGCGUCCGGUGUGAAAGUCCAUCGCUUAACGGUGGAUCUGCGCCGGGUACGGGCGGGCUGGAGUGCGGUAGGGGAGACUGGAAUUCCCGGUGUAACGGUGGAAUGUGUAGAUAUCGGGAAGAACACCAAUGGCGAAGGCAGGUCUCUGGGCCGUUACUGACGCUGAGGAGCGAAAGCGUAGGGAGCGAACA
RNAcentral lists this ribosomal RNA (207 nucleotides) under uncultured bacterium. Its description in RNAcentral is "partial 16S ribosomal RNA". It matches the Rfam family "Bacterial small subunit ribosomal RNA", at positions 568 to 774 of the family's 1533-position model. The record is from RNAcentral.